RNAcentral lists this transfer RNA (72 nucleotides) under Marmota monax (woodchuck). It matches the Rfam family "tRNA". Rfam says of the family: Transfer RNA (tRNA) molecules are approximately 80 nucleotides in length. Lineage: Eukaryota; Metazoa; Chordata; Mammalia; Rodentia; Sciuridae. The record is from Rfam by way of RNAcentral.
UGGGGUGUAGCUCAGUGGUAAAGUGGGUGCUUAACAUGUGUGAAGCCCUGAGUUGGAUCCUCAGCACCCAAA